This 768-nucleotide ribosomal RNA is filed under the name uncultured bacterium. RNAcentral describes it as "bacterial SSU rRNA". It matches the Rfam family "Bacterial small subunit ribosomal RNA", at positions 62 to 861 of the family's 1533-position model. The record is from RNAcentral.
UCGAACGGGAAAGUGGGAGCAAUCCCAUGAGUAGAGUGGCGUACGGGUGAGUAACACGUGGGUAAUCUACCUCUUAGUGGGGAAUAACCAUGGGAAACCGUGGCUAAUACCGUAUAAGCCUGAGAAGGGAAAGCAGCAAUGCGCUGAGAGAGGAGCCCGCGGCCGAUUAGCUAGUUGGCAGGGUAAAAGCCUACCAAGGCAAAGAUCGGUAGCCGGCCUGAGAGGGCACACGGCCACACUGGCACUGAAACACGGGCCAGACUCCUACGGGAGGCAGCAGUGGGGAAUCUUGCACAAUGGGGGCAACCCUGAUGCAGCGACGCCGCGUGAGCGAUGAAGUCCUUCGGGGCGUAAAGCUCUUUCGGCAGGGAAGAUUAUGACGGUACCUGCAGAAGCAGCUGCGGCUAACUACGUGCCAGCAGCCGCGGUAAUACGUAGGCAGCAAGCGUUGUUCGGAGUUACUGGGCGUAAAGGGUGUGUAGGCGGUUGCUUAAGUUUGGUGUGAAAUCUCCCGGCUCAACUGGGAGGGUGCGCCGAAUACUGAGUGACUAGAGUGCGGGAGAGGAGAGUGGAAUUCCUGGUGUAGCGGUGAAAUGCGUAGAUAUCAGGAGGAACACCGGCGGUGUAGACGGCUCUCUGGACCGUAACUGACGCUGAGACACGAAAGCGUGGGUAGCAAACAGGAUUAGAUACCCUGGUAGUCCACGCCCUAAACGAUGCAUAUUUGGUGUGGGCAGUUCAUUCUGUCCGUGCCGGAGCUAACGCGUU